Molecule: ribosomal RNA, 118 nt
Filed under: Pteropus alecto (black flying fox)
Lineage: Eukaryota; Metazoa; Chordata; Mammalia; Chiroptera; Pteropodidae
Source: RNAcentral
GUCUACAGCCAUGCCACCCUGAACAAACCCGAUCCCAUCUGAUCUCAGAAGCUAAGCGGGGUUAGGCCUGAUUAGCACUUGGAUGGAGAUCACCUAGGAAGACCAGGUGUUGUAGGCA